Molecule: ribosomal RNA, 255 nt
Filed under: Salmonella enterica
Lineage: Bacteria; Pseudomonadati; Pseudomonadota; Gammaproteobacteria; Enterobacterales; Enterobacteriaceae
Description: partial 23S ribosomal RNA
Rfam family: Bacterial large subunit ribosomal RNA
Source: RNAcentral
CCGGCGAGGGGAGUGAAAAAGAACCUGAAACCGUGUACGUACAAGCAGUGGGAGCACCCUUCGGGGUGUGACUGCGUACCUUUUGUAUAAUGGGUCAGCGACUUAUAUUCUGUAGCAAGGUUAACCGAAUAGGGGAGCCGGAGGGAAACCGAGUCUUAACCGGGCGUUAAGUUGCAGGGUAUAGACCCGAAACCCGGUGAUCUAGCCAUGGGCAGGUUGAAGGUUGGGUAACACUAACUGGAGGACCGAACCGAC